CCUACGGGUGGCAGCAGUGAGGAAUAUUGGUCAAUGGACGAGAGUCUGAACCAGCCAAGCAGCGUGAAGGAUGACGGUCCUAUGGGUUGUAAACUUCUUUUAUAUGGGAAUAAAACAUGGUAUGCAUACCCUCUUGUAUGUACCAUAUGAAUAAGGAUCGGCUAACUCCGUGCCAGCAGCCGCGGUAAUACGGAGGAUCCGAGCGUUAUCCGGAUUUAUUGGGUUUAAAGGGAGCGUAGGUGGAUUGUUAAGUCAGUUGUGAAAGUUUGGGGCUCAACCGUAAAAUGGCAGUUGAAACUGGCAGUCUCGAGUAGAGGAGAGGUAGGCGGAAUUCGUGGUGUAGCGGUGAAAUGCUUAGAUAUCACGAAGAACUCCGAUUGCGAAGGCAGCUCACUGG
RNAcentral lists this ribosomal RNA (397 nucleotides) under uncultured bacterium. Its description in RNAcentral is "partial 16S ribosomal RNA". It matches the Rfam family "Bacterial small subunit ribosomal RNA", at positions 338 to 732 of the family's 1533-position model. The record is from RNAcentral.